AGCAAUCGACCUCCCAUGUAGAGCAUUCCAAAACUGGAUCUGGCCAAGGCGAUCAUGACGCAAUUACCACGCCCCCAUCCAUUGAAGCUUCACCUGCCCCUCCUUCUGUUGAUGGUAAUGAUGGUGCCCCGUCACUCAACUUGAACUCUCUGUCAUCAUCUUCCGCUUGCAGUCAGGGGAAAGAUGAGGCACCUCCCACAUUUGAAGAAUCACACCCAACCGUGGAAGGUUCAGAAGCUAUUGAGGCAACCUGUACAUCGAAGUCAGAGGCUCCUGACAAGUCUAGCGAAUCUCAUGGAUCAUCAAUAAA
Molecule: long non-coding RNA, 310 nt
Filed under: Setaria italica (foxtail millet)
Lineage: Eukaryota; Viridiplantae; Streptophyta; Magnoliopsida; Poales; Poaceae
Description: long non-coding RNA (SITA_LNC001552)
Source: RNAcentral